GACGAACGCUGGCGGCGUGCCUAACACAUUCAAGUCGAACGGAAAGGCCCUUCGGGGUACCCUAGUUGCGAAACGGUGGGUAAAACGUUGGUUCUCUGCCCUCCUCUUUUGGAUAAGGCUGGGAAACUGGGUCUAAUACCCUAUAGGACCACGGCAUUCUUGUGCUUUUGUGGAAAUCUUUUGCGGUGUGGGAUGGGCCCGCGGCCUAUCAGCUUGUUGGUGGGGUAAUGGCCUACCAAGGCGCCGACGGGUAGCCGGCCUGGGAGGGUGACCGGCCACACUGGGACUGAGAUACGGCCCAGACUCCUACGGGAGGCAGCAGUGGGGAAUAUUGCACAAUGGGCGCAAGCCUGAUGCAGCGACGCCGCGUGAGGGAUGACGGCCUUCGGGUUGUAAACCUCUUUCGCCAGGGACGAAGCGCAAGUGACGGUACCUGGAGAAGAAGAACCGGCCAACUACGUG
This 462-nucleotide ribosomal RNA is filed under the name uncultured bacterium. RNAcentral's name for it is "partial 16S ribosomal RNA". It matches the Rfam family "Bacterial small subunit ribosomal RNA", at positions 28 to 507 of the family's 1533-position model. The record is from RNAcentral.